This 274-nucleotide ribosomal RNA is filed under the name uncultured bacterium. RNAcentral's name for it is "partial 16S ribosomal RNA". It matches the Rfam family "Bacterial small subunit ribosomal RNA", at positions 523 to 796 of the family's 1533-position model. The record is from RNAcentral.
AUACGGAGGGUGCGAGCGUUAAUCGGAAUUACUGGGCGUAAAGCGUACGUAGGCGGUUGGUUAAGUUAGAUGUGAAAGCCCCGGGCUUAACCUGGGAACUGCAUUUAAAACUGGCGAACUAGAGUUGAGUAGAGGGGAGUGGAAUUUCAGGUGUAGCGGUGAAAUGCGUAGAGAUCUGAAGGAACACCAGUGGCGAAGGCGACUCCCUGGACUCGAACUGACGCUGAGGUGCGAAAGCGUGGGUAGCAAACGGGAUUAGAAACCCUAGUAGUCC